GACCUGGGACAUCAUCUGUUUCGCAGCUCUCCUGCACAGGGAUUGUCAUUCUAUUUCCGAAUCAUUUCUAAAACCCAAGGACACUGUGUUCCAGCCUAUGGUUGCUGUCUCUUUAGCGAGAUCUCGAACAUUUGUAUUUACCUCCGACAUAACUAGAAGUUCAGGUAAGUUAGUUAAUCCCAUAGGGCUCUCUGGUUGUCACAGGUCUGUGGCCAACCACUAGGUGUGGGGCGCGUCUCGUAGACAUGUUAAUUUCAUCUGGUGAAGCGGCGGGUAGGGGACUCGUGAAGAUCAAAUACUCGAAUAUUCCCUUAUCGAUACUUAAGUUUUGUCUUCUGCUGACAGAAGACAAGCUUGCUCCUAAAUUGAAAGUUUUAGAUAAGACCGGCGGCAUUUGAGACACCGCUACAAGCCACUAACGGCGGGUGGAGAUCAACAUGUAACUGACUUUCUUGAGGCGUCGAACGAUGGAACUCCCCUGUAAGUCAGUUGGACCAAAUAGCAAAUGCACACAGAAAACCAGC
Molecule: small RNA, 524 nt
Filed under: Histoplasma capsulatum var. duboisii H88
Lineage: Eukaryota; Fungi; Ascomycota; Eurotiomycetes; Onygenales; Ajellomycetaceae
Description: Histoplasma capsulatum H88 hypothetical RNA
Source: RNAcentral